UGCUUUGUACAUUUCAGAAAGUUACCUUGUCUUUGUAAUUCUAGAACCCAUUUUUUGGCGCGUUCAAAUGAUUCCAUGCUUGUGAUAUCAUAGACCACAACAGCAGCAGCUGCACCGCGGUAGUACAUGGGAGCCAAGCUAUGGUAUCUUUCCUGCCCUGCUGUAUCCCAUAUAUCAAACUUUACGGUGGCCUCAUUUAGUGACAAAACCUGAGUGAAAAAGGCCGCUCCAAUUGUAGAUUCCUGGAAAUCGAAAAAUUGGCCUUUGACGAAUCUUAACACCAAACUUGUCUUUCCAGUNNNNNNNCCCAAGAAGUACCAGCUUGGCUUGUAUGUUCUUGUUGCUCGUUCUCGCCAUUGCCAAUCGAUGAAAAUUUCAGAGAGAGAAUGAUUUUUGGAUUAUAA
RNAcentral lists this unclassified non-coding RNA (404 nucleotides) under Hevea brasiliensis (rubber tree). Lineage: Eukaryota; Viridiplantae; Streptophyta; Magnoliopsida; Malpighiales; Euphorbiaceae. The record is from RNAcentral.